RNAcentral lists this ribosomal RNA (374 nucleotides) under uncultured Hydrogenophaga sp. Its description in RNAcentral is "bacterial SSU rRNA". It matches the Rfam family "Bacterial small subunit ribosomal RNA", at positions 1003 to 1382 of the family's 1533-position model. The record is from RNAcentral. Lineage: Bacteria; Pseudomonadati; Pseudomonadota; Betaproteobacteria; Burkholderiales; Comamonadaceae.
GAGAUGGCUUCGUGCUCGAAAGAGAGCCGUAACACAGGUGCUGCAUGGCUGUCGUCAGCUCGUGUCGUGAGAUGUUGGGUUAAGUCCCGCAACGAGCGCAACCCUUGUCAUUAGUUGCUACGAAAGGGCACUCUAAUGAGACUGCCGGUGACAAACCGGAGGAAGGUGGGGAUGACGUCAAGUCCUCAUGGCCCUUAUAGGUGGGGCUACACACGUCAUACAAUGGCUGGUACAAAGGGUUGCCAACCCGCAGGGGGAGCCAAUCCCAUAAAGCCAGUCGUAGUCCGGAUCGCAGUCUGCAACUCGACUGCGUGAAGUCGGAAUCGCUAGUAAUCGUGGAUCAGCAUGUCACGGUGAAUACGUUCCCGGGUCUU